This 532-nucleotide ribosomal RNA is filed under the name uncultured Acidobacteriota bacterium. RNAcentral's name for it is "bacterial SSU rRNA". It matches the Rfam family "Bacterial small subunit ribosomal RNA", at positions 13 to 529 of the family's 1533-position model. Lineage: Bacteria; Pseudomonadati; Acidobacteriota. The record is from RNAcentral.
UUGAUCCUGGCUCAGAAUCAACGCUGGCGGCGUGCCUAACACAUGCAAGUCGAACGCGGUUAGUAGCAAUACUAACUGAGUGGCGAACGGGUGAGUAACUCGUGGGUGACCUACCUUCGAGUGGGGGAUAACGUCCCGAAAGGGACGCUUAUACCGCAUGACAUCCUGCCUUUGAACAGGCGGAGAUCAAAGCCGGGGAUCGCAAGACCUGGCGCUUGAUGAGGGGCCCGCGUCUGAUUAGCUAGUUGGUGAGGUAACGGCUCACCAAGGCGACGAUCAGUAUCCGGCCUGAGAGGGCGUACGGACACACUGGGACUGAGACACGGCCCAGACUCCUACGGGAGGCAGCUGUGGGGAAUUGUUCACAAUGGGCGCAAGCCUGAUGACGCAACGCCGCGUUGAGGAUGAAGGUCUUCGGAUUGUAAACUCCUGUUGCUCGGGAAGAAAAGUUCCGACCUAAUACGUCGGAGUCUGACGGUACCGGGUGAGGAAGCCCCGGUUAACUCUGUGCCAGCAGCCGCGGUAAUAAGGU